GCUGGACCCGCGGCAGGAAGCACGGCCGCUGCUGCCCCCGCCCGCGUGUCUGCCUGUCUUCUCGAGCCCCUCCUCCUCCUCGUGCCACGCGUGGGUCUGAGCCCUGCGGGCAGCUCAGGGCCGUGACUCUUCGCUCGGGCUCUCCCGUGCAGCCUAGAGCCAGAUUUGAGCCAUGUUUGCCACGAGGCCCCAAGAACGUGGGUUGGGACUUGGCAAAGCCAGAUUUGGGUUGCCAGGCUGGUGGGCAGCUCGUCGCCGUGACCCGCGUGCCAGUCGGAGCUUCCCAAGGCGGUCAGCAGCUUGGGAUCGUGGGACGGCUGUUUCCGUGCAGGUUCGUGCCGCUGGCCUGGAGGAGCGUCCUGCCAGGCCUGGGUGUCUGCCACCGACCACACCGGGUGCAGGGACACGGGGAGGGCUGCGACUCUGGCGUGGGGUUCAGCGGGGCCAGCCGGGCCCUCAGCCGGAUCUCUCCCGUCCAUGCUGAUCACCAGCGCCCGCCUUGCUCCCGGGGUGCCCAGGGCUGGAGGCCGAUGCUCUUUGUGUUCCUGGACGAAGGAGGCUGUGGUAGAAAGACAGCUGACCCGAGAUGAUGAACACCUGAACUCUGGUUCUGCCAGUCACGAGCUGUGGGAGCUCGGGUCCAGCUCCCUCGUUUGCAAAGUCGUGGGGAGGAGAGGGGGUGAGGGCAGUGCCCUCUCAGGGGCUCCACAGCUCCGGAGAUGGUAACGUGAUGCUCCUGGCGCCCCUUCCUGGAGCUGCGCCCCUUUGCCGGCCCCCGAGGCCGGGGUCCUGGGGCCUUUCCCGGGAGGGCCGUUGCAUCCACAGUGGCUGGAGGCUCGAGGGAGGAACAGUGUGAGGGGAGGUGUCGCUGAUCCUCAGAGGACCUACGCGGUCAGAACUAAUUAAAACAGCACUUUUCUUUACCCACGCUCGCGUCCCCGAGUGUUUUCUCAGGGGCGGCGGGGCACCUGCUUUGAGGCUUUCUCCCCUAGACCCUGGCGUCAUGACGACGUGGAGCGGGAACCCGGCCCGGGAGCCUCCCUGCGGGGAAGGCCUGGGCCCUGCUCUGGCUGUGCAGCCACAGCCGCUCUUUCACGUGCAGGCAGCAGGGCCGGGGCCGGAGCCGGGGCAAGCCUGUCGCGAAUGCCCCCGGCUUCGGAGGGCCUUUCCCGGGAGAAGCCCCAGCCCCGGCUCCCCUCUCUGCCCCGUGCCGUCCGCACUGAGGGUCAAGGAUGCUGCAGUGCGUGUUUGUCGUUCACUUUAACUGGGCGGGCUGUGCAUCUCCUUCCGUCUGAGGGGAGCCCCCACCUCAGGGGUCUUGGGAGGCCCAGCUCUCUCCUCCCUGUAGAAGCCAAAUGGAUCCGUAGCUUCACGUGCCAGCAGCCCUUGCAGCCCAGGCCCAGGUCUAGUGGUAGCUAUUUAAACAUACAAAGGAAAGCAAAAGAAAAGACGCAGAGGAAAAGCAAAGCAGAGGGGCUGCGGAGGCCUCCCUGGUGGCUGUAGGUCGCAGGGAGGCGGGUUUCCAUGGCAGCAGUGACAGGUCUGCGUGCAGGAUGCUGGACGGCUUGGGGAGCUGCCUGGGCGCCCGUGAGCUCUUGGCUUAAUCCCGUGUUAACGCUCUCGAUGAGACCCGGGACAUUUCGCUAAGCCCUCCAGCCCCUUCUCGGACUAGCGCGAGAACCUAACCGUUGCCAGCCCUGCUCCGAGCGAUCCGCUGUGUUUCUCUUCUUGCCGAUCUUAUUGCUCCCAGCCUUCUGUAGGCCCCAUCCUCUCUGCGCCCCGUUCCUCAGGGGCCACAGCACCUGCUAGAGCAGGCCCCUCCCCCGAGCAAGCCCCGCCCUGGCAGUGGGUCCGCGCAGACCGCCCCUCCCUGCGGGCGGCCGGUGGCCGUUUCAUUCACUAGGCGGUGCGGGCGGAGGAUCCGUGGUCUGAGGGCUCGUCGGGGGCCUGUGGAAAUACAAGUCCUGAAGAAGAAUCAGAAUUAAAAGGGGAAAACCUAAAUUAGAUACCAUAAACCGUACCAUCCUGUUAAACUCAUUGUUAGUUUCAUAGCUAUUUCAUAACACGUCAGAAUUCUUCUACACUUGAAAAUAACGCGUAGGUUAGAAUCUUCACCUCACAAGAAAUUCUGCACACGCAAGAGGAUUGGCUAAGAUUGAGCCAAGUGUAAAUUAAGUGACUUACCCUCACCAAAUAAUUCCAAAAGCAAAACUGUACAGUUUCCAGAUCUCACUUUAGAGACCGCCUGCCCCGCUGGCGGCGUGUGCACUUCGGCACCUGAUGCGCGGGGCGGAGCCUCUCUGAGGCGGGGCGCCUGGACCCUGGGCAGAGCGCGCGCCGUGGGCCCCGGCUUUGGGGCGGGGACCUUGUCCUACAGACCCCAGCCCAGGGAGGCCUUGCGCGCGACACGGUUUGAGGUCUGCGAGGCUGUCCCCAGUCGCCAGUCGCCACUUUCACCCGGCGGCAGGGCCUGCCAGUCGUUGCCAGGAUCCGUUCUCGGGAAUUGUGCCGCCGUCCCUCCCCGCCUCCCGCCUCCUGUGCACAGACGCCUCUCGGGCCCAGGUUCCAGCCAGGUGACCGCGAGGAGCAGCGGCUGUCCCAGCUCCAAGGCGCGGGUUUUACGGGACUUUGGCUGUCUCGCACUUCCUCUCUCUCCCCUUCCUUGUGACAGGAACCCGGACAAGCCUCGGGUCCUGCAGGUGGACGUGGCGUCCCAGAGGGUGGUGACGUAGGAGCCUCGGUUCUUUGACAAGCUCAGGGAGCAGGACCGUCCACCCGCCUCCAACUGCCUGCUUCCCCCUCCGCCGGUUACUGAGGGAGCACUGCGGGCCUCUCUCUAAGCCGUUUGGGCAUCUGUGAUGCAUCGUGGCGUUACAGCGCCUGAGCCUGAGCUCUGGCAGAAACAGAGCUGCCUUGCCUUUGUGCCGCGAGGAUUCGCCUGGGCUUCCUGGGAGCUGCGGCACUGCUGGCCUCCAGCGGACCAAGACGUGCCGAGGCCAAGCCCAGCAGGCGGGGAGGGACCCGGGCUCUCUCCGUGCCUGGUCCAGGCCACCACAGCCUCAGCAGCCCCCAGCCUGAGGACGAGGCCUGGUGCUGGGGCUCGGCUCCCCAUUUCUUCCAGCGAGUCGCAGGCACGGUCUGGCCCACUGAUAAUGUCACUUGAUGGCAGAGCCUGGGCCAGGCGGUGCCUCUGUGGCUUUUUUGGUUUAUUAAUGGGCCUAGUGAAGCAUUCCUCUCUCCUGUGUGAGGUGUCUCUCUGCGUAACCAAGCAGUUGAUGAGACGGUUAACUUAACAACGCACAGCAUAAGAGUUGUGAGUUUAGGUUGCAGCUCAGGAGGCAGCCUCGGCUCCAGAGAGGAGGGAUAAACAGCCUUACAUCUCGCCUGUAAGCCUGACACGCAUCUUGGUAAGAGGUUACGCUGGUCGCAAAGAACCAGUAUUCCAAGCCAGUGGCUUCAGUGGCUUUCUCUGUGUGGACAGAUGCAAGAAUGUGGGUUCGUGCAGUUCUCCCUGAGGCACACGCUUAACUGUGUAGGUUUUUCCGAAGCACAGAGGGCCCCGUCCUGACGCUCAUCCUGCCUCCUCCCAGGGGCGAGCUCCCGGCGCGGCGGAGGGCCUCACCGGCGAACCGGGCGGUGAGCGAGGCUCUUGGUGCUUCUUUGUUUGCAAAGAAGGGUCUCUUUCAGACGUACUGCAGCUAAUAGCAGAAGGGUUGCUAGACUGGGGCACCGCCAGGGAGUGAAUGAAUCCCGGCAGUGACCACCCAAGGCCGCCCAUAGCGCAAGGAGAAAGUCGUCCAGACGCCGCGAGUCUGAUACGCAACAUCACCUAUGGGGCGCCGCCAAACGAGGUCUGAAUGUGAUCCAGUCUGGAGGUCUGACUGCCAAGUCAGCUCUAGCUCCCAAGUGAGGGGACCUGCCCGGAACAGAGGAGCAUUUUAAGGGACACCCCGAGGAGACAAUCGGCAAAAUCUGGUUUGUGAGCAACAGUAGGUCCGGUUUCCGCAACAAGUAUAUCGCAAGGGGGCUAAACAUGAGAUGGACGGGAAACCUACAGGCUAAGGAGACUUAAAAAACCGUAUAAGCCAAUCGUGAAGUAUGAAACUUACUUGCAUCCUGGUUUAAAGAAACUAAAAAUAUCAUGAGAGGGUUGGGAAAAGAUGAGCAGUCGGUCACAGGACACUUGAUGGUAUUAAGAACUUAUUGUCUGCAGUUCCCUGCAUGGCUCAGUGGUUUAAAGACUCCGACUAGGAACCAUGGGGUUGCGGGUUCGAUCCCUGGCCUCGGUCAGUGGGUUAAGGAUCCGACGUUGCCGUGACCUGUGGUGUAGGUCGCAGACGCAGCUUGGAUCCCGAGUUGCUGUGGCUGUGGCGUCGGCCGGUGGCUACAGCUCCGAUUCGACCCCUGUCCUGGGAACCUUCACAUGCCGUGGGUUCGGCCCUAGAAAAAGACAAAAAGACCAAAAAAAAAAAA
This 4473-nucleotide long non-coding RNA is filed under the name Sus scrofa (pig). RNAcentral's name for it is "lncRNA (ENSSSCG00055009083.1)". Lineage: Eukaryota; Metazoa; Chordata; Mammalia; Artiodactyla; Suidae. The record is from RNAcentral.